ACCCAGACUCCUACGGGAGGCAGCAGUGGGGAAUAUUGCACAAUGGGGGAAACCCUGAUGCAGCGACGCCGCGUGAGCGAUGAAGUCUUUCGGUAUGUAAAGCUCUAUCAGCAGGGAAGAAGAUGACGGUACCUGACUAAGAAGCCCCGGCUAACUACGUGCCAGCAGCCGCGGUAAUACGUAGGGGGCAAGCGUUAUCCGGAUUUACUGGGUGUAAAGGGGGCGCAGACGGCGAUGCAAGCCAGGAGUGAAAGCCCGGGGCUCAACCCCGGGACUGCAUUUGAAACUGUCAGGCUGGAGUGCAGGAGAGGUAAGUGGAAUUCCUAGUGUAGCGGUGAAAUGCGUAGAUAUUAGGAGGAACACCAGUGGCGAAGGCGGCUUACUGGACUGUAACUGACGUUGAGGCUCGAAAGCGUGGGGAGCAAACAGGAUUAGAUACCCCAGUAA
Molecule: ribosomal RNA, 447 nt
Filed under: uncultured bacterium
Lineage: Bacteria
Description: bacterial SSU rRNA
Rfam family: Bacterial small subunit ribosomal RNA
Source: RNAcentral